UACGUAGGGUGCGAGCGUUAAUCGGAAUUACUGGGCGUAAAGCGUGCGCAGGCGGUUUUGUAAGCCAGAUGUGAAAUCCCCCGGGCUUAACCUGGGAAUGGCAUUUGGGACUGCAAGGCUCGAGUGCGGCAGAGGAGACUGGAAUUCCUGGUGUAGCAGUGAAAUGCGUAGAUAUCAGGAGGAACACCGAUGGCGAAGGCAGGUCUCUGGGCCGAUACUGACGCUGAGGAGCGAAAGCGUGGGGAGCGAACAGG
RNAcentral lists this ribosomal RNA (254 nucleotides) under uncultured bacterium. RNAcentral describes it as "partial 16S ribosomal RNA". It matches the Rfam family "Bacterial small subunit ribosomal RNA", at positions 524 to 776 of the family's 1533-position model. The record is from RNAcentral.